This 1542-nucleotide long non-coding RNA is filed under the name Coturnix japonica (Japanese quail). RNAcentral's name for it is "lncRNA (ENSCJPG00005002901.1)". The record is from RNAcentral. Lineage: Eukaryota; Metazoa; Chordata; Aves; Galliformes; Phasianidae.
UGAGUGUCACACGUGUGCCCUGAGUGUCACACACGCGUGUCACCGUGUGUCACGUAUGUGCACUGAGUGUGUCAUGCGUGUGCCCUGAACGCCAUACGUGUGUGCUGAGUGUGACAUGCGUGUGCUGUGAGCGUCACGCGUGUUCCCUACGUGUCAUGUGUGUGUGUCCAUGAGUGUCAUACAUGUGCCCUGUCACGUGUGUGCCCUGCAUGUCAUAUGUGUGAGCUGAGUGUCACAUGCGUGUGCUGUGAGUGUCACACGUGUGUGUGUCCCUGUCACACGUGUGACCUGAGCAUCACACACGUGUGCUCUGAGCGUCAUACGUGUGUGUGCUGUGUCGUGUGUGUGCCCUGAGUGUCACACACGCGUGUCCCCAUGUCACGUAUGUGCACUGAGUCUGUCAUGAGUGUGCCCUGCGUGUCAUACGUGUGAGCUGAGUGUCACAUGCGUGUGCUGUGUCACGUGUUUGUGCCAUGAGUGUCACACGUGUGCCCUGAGCGUCACACAUGUGUGUUCUGAGCGUCAUACGUGUGUGUGCUGUGUCACGUGUGUGUGCCCUGAGUGUCACACGUGUGCCCUGAGCAUCACACGCGUGUGCUCUGAGCGUCAUACAUGUGUGUGCUGUGUCACGUGUGUGUGCCCUGAGUGUCACACGUGUGUGCUGUGUCACACGUGUGCCCUGAGCAUCACACGCGUGUGCUCUGAGCGUCAUACGUGUGUGUGCUGUGUCGUGUGUGUGCCCUGCGUGUCAUACGUGUGAGCUGAGUACAUACAUGUGUACGAUGUGAGUGUCACACGUGUGGGUGUCCCUGUCACACGUGUGCCCUGAGCAUCACACACGUGUGCUCUGAGCAUCAUAUGUGUGUGUGCUGUCACAUGUGUGUGCCAUGAGUGUUACACGUAUGUGUGGCCUGUCACGUGUGCGUGCCCUGAUUAUCACACGCGUGUGUGCUUUGAGUGUCGCAUCUGUGUGCUGUGUUACAUGUAUGUCCUGAGCGUCACACGUGUGCUUUGAGUGUCACAUGUGUGUGCCAUGAGUGUCACGUAUGUGCCCUGAGUGUCACACACGCGUGUCCCCGUGUGUCACGUGUGUGCGCUGAGUGUGUCAUGAGUGUGCCCUGAAGGCCAUACGUGUGUGCUGAGUGUGACAUGCGUGUGCUGGGAGCGUCACGCGUGUGCCCUGUGUGUCAUGUGUGUGUGUACCUGAGUGUGACACGUGUGCUCUGUCACAUGUGUGCCCCGCGUGUCAUACGUGUGAGUUGAAUGUCACAUGCGUGUGCUCUGAGUGUCACACGUGUGUGUGCUGUGUCACGUGUGUGUGCCCUGAUUAUCACACGCGUGUGUGCUUUGAGUGUCGCAUCUGUGUGCUGUGUCACAUGUAUGUCCUGAGUGUCACACGUGUGCUUUGAGUGUCACAUGUGUGUGUCAUUGAGUGUCACACGUGUGCCCUGAUUGUCACACACGCGUGUCCCUGAGUAUCACGUGUGUGUCCUGAGUGUGUCAUGAGUGUGCCCUGAAGGCCAUACGUGUGUGCUGAGUGUC